AGGUCAUUUCAAAGAGGGGCUUGUGGAACUGAGACCCAAGAGCUCUUAACGCAGUAGCCAAAGAUUAAGAUUCUCCACGGGAUCCCCAUCGUCACUCCAUAGUGCCAUGUUUUCUCCUGUGGAGAUACACGA
RNAcentral lists this small nucleolar RNA (132 nucleotides) under Echinops telfairi (small Madagascar hedgehog). Its description in RNAcentral is "Small nucleolar RNA SNORA25 (ENSETEG00000023162.1)". It matches the Rfam family "Small nucleolar RNA SNORA25". Rfam says of the family: ACA25 is a member of the H/ACA class of snoRNA that guide the sites of modification of uridines to pseudouridines. Lineage: Eukaryota; Metazoa; Chordata; Mammalia; Afrosoricida; Tenrecidae. The record is from RNAcentral.